GCGUAUCAAUAAGCGGAGGAAAAGAAACUAACAAGGAUUCCCCUAGUAGCGGCGAGCGAAGCGGGAAGAGCUCAAAUUUAUAAUCUGGCACUUUCAGUGUCCGAGUUGUAAUCUCUAGAAGUGUUUUCCGCGUUGGACCGCACACAAGUCUGUUGGAAUACAGCGGCACAGUGGUGACACCCCCGUACACGGUGCGGACGCCCAGCGCUUUGUGAUACACUUUCGAAGAGUCGAGUUGUUUGGGAAUGCAGCUCAAAUUGGGUGGUAAAUUCCAUCUAAAGCUAAAUAUUGGCGAGAGACCGAUAGCGAACAAGUACCGUGAGGGAAAGAUGAAAAGCACUUUGGAAAGAGAGUUAACAGUACGUGAAAUUGUUGGAAGGGAAACGCUUGAAGUCAGACUUGCUUGCCGGAGCUUGCUUCGGUUUGCAGGCCAGCAUCAGUUUUCCGGGGUGGAUAAUGGCGGUUAGAAGGUAGCAGCUUCAGCUGUGUUAUAGCUUUCCGCUGGAUACAUCCUGGGGGACUGAGGAACGCAGCGUGCUUUUAGCGGGGGUUUCGACCUCUUCACGCUUAGGAUGCUGGUGUAAUGGCUUUAAACGACCCGUCUUGAAACACGGACC
This 617-nucleotide ribosomal RNA is filed under the name Rhodotorula paludigena. Its description in RNAcentral is "eukaryotic LSU rRNA". It matches the Rfam family "Eukaryotic large subunit ribosomal RNA", at positions 38 to 667 of the family's 3401-position model. Lineage: Eukaryota; Fungi; Basidiomycota; Microbotryomycetes; Sporidiobolales; Sporidiobolaceae. The record is from RNAcentral.